This 71-nucleotide transfer RNA is filed under the name Pericosmus bidens. RNAcentral's name for it is "partial tRNA-Gln". Lineage: Eukaryota; Metazoa; Echinodermata; Echinoidea; Spatangoida; Pericosmidae. The record is from RNAcentral.
CUAAAGAAACGGGAAUCGAACCCGCGACAAAGAAAUCAAAGUUCUCCGUUUUCCUUCUAAACUANUCCUNA